UAAUCUCACUCCAUCAGCUUUUGUUGAGGGAGGUGGACCUGGACUCUGUUGUGUCAUUACAACUGGUCUGAAAUGCAUGAGUGCACCCUGCUGUUGCAGCGUCUUCAGUGUGAUAAGCAUCUUCACUGGAUCAAGUUCCUUUGGGACACGCAAGCAUUGUGGGCUCUGUGCUGACAAACUGUCUUUGGACAACCUUGACA
RNAcentral lists this unclassified non-coding RNA (200 nucleotides) under uncultured Serendipitaceae. Its description in RNAcentral is "sequence contains ITS2". Lineage: Eukaryota; Fungi; Basidiomycota; Agaricomycetes; Sebacinales; Serendipitaceae. The record is from RNAcentral.